This 459-nucleotide ribosomal RNA is filed under the name uncultured bacterium. Its description in RNAcentral is "partial 16S ribosomal RNA". It matches the Rfam family "Bacterial small subunit ribosomal RNA", at positions 338 to 795 of the family's 1533-position model. The record is from RNAcentral.
CCUACGGGGGGCAGCAGUGAGGAAUAUUGGUCAAUGGCCGCAGGGCUGAACCAGCCAAGUCGCGUGAGGGAUGACGGUCCUAUGGAUUGUAAACCUCUUUUGUCAGGGAGCAAAGGGCGCCACGUGUGGCGUUUUGCGAGUACCUGAAGAAAAAGCAUCGGCUAACUCCGUGCCAGCAGCCGCGGUAAUACGGAGGAUGCGAGCGUUAUCCGGAUUUAUUGGGUUUAAAGGGUGCGCAGGCGGAAUGUCAAGUCAGCGGUAAAAUUUCGGGGCUCAACCCCGUCGUGCCGUUGAAACUGGCGUUCUUGAGUGAGCGAGAAGUAUGCGGAAUGCGUGGUGUAGCGGUGAAAUGCAUAGAUAUCACGCAGAACCCCGAUUGCGAAGGCAGCAUACCGGCGCCCUACUGACGCUGAGGCACGAAAGUGCGGGUAUCGAACAGGAUUAGAUACACUGGUAGUC